CUACGGGCCGCAGCAGUGGGGAAUAUUGCACAAUGGAGGAAACUCUGAUGCAGCAACGCCGCGUGGAGGAUGACACUUUUCGGAGCGUAGACUCCUUUUAUAUAGGAAGAUAAUGACGGUACUAUAUGAAUAAGCACCGGCUAACUCCGUGCCAGCAGCCGCGGUAAUACGGAGGGUGCAAGCGUUACUCGGAAUCACUGGGCGUAAAGAGCGUGUAGGCGGGUUAAUAAGUCAGAAGUGAAAUCCUAUGGCUCAACCAUAGAACUGCUUUUGAAACUGUUAACCUAGAGUGUGGGAGAGGUAGAUGGAAUUUCUGGUGUAGGGGUAAAAUCCGUAGAGAUCAGAAGGAAUACCGAUUGCGAAGGCGAUCUGCUGGAACAUAACUGACGCUGAGACGCGAAAGCGUGGGGAGCAAACAGGAUUAGAUACCCGCGUAGUC
Molecule: ribosomal RNA, 439 nt
Filed under: uncultured bacterium
Lineage: Bacteria
Description: partial 16S ribosomal RNA
Rfam family: Bacterial small subunit ribosomal RNA
Source: RNAcentral